This 602-nucleotide ribosomal RNA is filed under the name Sebacinaceae sp. E7123d. Its description in RNAcentral is "eukaryotic LSU rRNA". The stretch from base 213 to 366 matches the Rfam family "5.8S ribosomal RNA". Lineage: Eukaryota; Fungi; Basidiomycota; Agaricomycetes; Sebacinales; Sebacinaceae. The record is from RNAcentral.
UGCGGAAGGAUCAUUAAUGAAUUUGAAUCGCCUUUUGGUCGUGCUGGCUUUGCAAGUGCACACUAAUUGGUUUCAUCCAACACCCUUGUGCACCUUUGGCCUCGCGUUGUAAUGUGCCUCGGUCUUUUAGGCCUUGGUGCGGAUCGCGCGAGGAUAUUACACAAAAUCGUAUGUAACAGAAUGUAGAUCUAGUGCGUAAGCACGAAAUGUACAACUUUCAACAACGGAUCUCUUGGCUCUCGCAUCGAUGAAGAACGCAGCGAAAUGCGAUAAGUAAUGUGAAUUGCAGAAUUCAGUGAAUCAUCGAAUCUUUGAACGCACCUUGCACCCUUUGGUAUUCCGAAGGGUAUGCUCGUUUGAGUGUCAUUGUAAUCUCACACCCUAAGAUUUUUCGAAGGGCGGUGGAUUUGGAUGUUGCCGCGUCGAGCGGCUCGUCUUAAAUGCAUUAGUGCAACUUACGGUUGAACAUAGUACGGCGUGAUAAGUAUCUUCGCUGGCUCUCCUUCGGGAGGUGUUUGAACGUUAGCUCUGCGCUUCUAAUCGUCCCUUGGGACUAAAGCCUCGGCUUACUUGACAACUUGACCUCAAAUCGAGUAGGACUA